AACGAACGCUGGCGGCAGGCUUAACACAUGCAAGUCGAACGCCCCGCAAGGGGAGUGGCAGACGGGUGAGUAACGCGUGGGAAUCUACCCAGAUCUUCGGAAAAACACAGGGAAACUUGUGCUAAUACCGGAUACGCCCUACGGGGGAAAGAUUUAUCGGAUUUGGAUGAGCCCGCGUUGGAUUAGCUAGUUGGUGAGGUAAUGGCUCACCAAGGCUACGAUCCAUAGCUGGUCUGAGAGGAUGAUCAGCCACACUGGGACUGAGACACGGCCCAGACUCCUACGCGAGGCAGCAGUGGGUAAUAUUGGACAAUGGGCGAAAGCCUGAUCCAGCCAUGCUGCGUGAGUGAUGAAGGCCUUAGGGUUGUAAAGCUCUUUUAGUGGGGAAGAUAAUGACGGUACCCACAGAAAAAGCCCCGGCUAACUUCGUGCCAGCAGCCGCGGUAA
This 447-nucleotide ribosomal RNA is filed under the name uncultured bacterium. Its description in RNAcentral is "partial 16S ribosomal RNA". It matches the Rfam family "Bacterial small subunit ribosomal RNA", at positions 29 to 523 of the family's 1533-position model. The record is from RNAcentral.